CAGUGUUUUGUCUGGAAUGAAAGCAGUUGAGACAGCUUUUAUUGUGCAUUUUGUGUCAUGAAAUAGUAAGGAUCUUCCCGCCUCCCCCUACUCCCCAGUAAUGCUCUGAGAGACGAAAGUUUGGGGAGUUCUGAAAGAGAAGAUUUCAAAAGAAGAGGUGAGAGAAGAGCUGAAAACAGGGAGGAUGAUCUGUGAAAUCAUGACAGCAGGUCAGACCAGAAGGUCUAAGUGGUGACCUUCUCUGGGUUGGAUACGCAGAUGGCAAGGAAGAAUCCGUGAGAAUUUACCCUGCUUCCUGUUGGGAGUCUGGAGGAGACUGAAGCAGAGACUGGGAUCAGAAAAGGCUUCACCAGACACGAGGCAUAUCCAGUCUUCCAGCCCUUGGAUGGGAGCUGACAGAAAUACAUGCAUCUAGCAUGAGUUAAGAUUCCUUGGAAGAUUAUGCUCAAGGAGAACAAAGAUGGGAGCAGGAUGGGUUCUCUGAACGGGACUGAAUGAGAACUGGACCGGUUCUAUACGCUGGCUGCCUGGAGCCCCAUGCUGAGGAACAAGUCUGCUCAGGAGAAGAAAAUAGCCACGACAACUUGCUGUGUGAUCCCCAGCAGGUCAAUCCCUCUCUGGGCCUCCAUUUUGUAUCUGUAAAUGAGGAGGUUGGAUAAGACCAGGUGUUGUCAAACUACAGCCUGUGGGCAAAUCCAGACUCCUGCUUGCUGCUAUACAAGCUAAAAAAAAAAAGUUUUCAUUUCAAGGUUAUUGAUAAACAAUCAAAAGAAGAGUAUGUUGUGACAUGCAAAAAUUGUAAGGAAUUCAAACAUCUGUGCCACAAAUAAAAUUUCAUUGGGGCACA
This 847-nucleotide long non-coding RNA is filed under the name Bos indicus x Bos taurus (hybrid cattle). RNAcentral describes it as "lncRNA (ENSBIXG00005023794.1)". Lineage: Eukaryota; Metazoa; Chordata; Mammalia; Artiodactyla; Bovidae. The record is from RNAcentral.